Molecule: ribosomal RNA, 393 nt
Filed under: uncultured bacterium
Lineage: Bacteria
Description: partial 16S ribosomal RNA
Rfam family: Bacterial small subunit ribosomal RNA
Source: RNAcentral
AUACGGAGGAUGCAAGCGUUAUCCGGAUUUAUUGGGUUUAAAGGGUGCGUAGGCGGUUUGCUAAGCGGGAGGUGAAAUGCCGGCGCUCAACGUCGGAAGUGCCUCCCGAACUGGUGGACUGGAAUGACUAUGCCGUGGGAGGAAUGUGUAGUGUAGCGGUGAAAUGCUUAGAGAUUACACAGAACACCGAUUGCGAAGGCAUCUCACGAAGGGUUGAUUGACGCUGAGGCACGAAAGCGUGGGGAUCAAACAGGAUUAGAUACCCUGGUAGUCCACGCAGUAAACGAUGAUGGCUAACCGCUGGUUUAUUCGGAUCAGUGGCCAAGCGAAAGCGAUAAGCCAUCCACCUGGGGAGUACGACCGCAAGGUUGAAACUCAAAGGAAUUGGCGGGG